UGUUGAUGCAGCAAGGAUGAGCUCAGGGU
Molecule: non-coding RNA, 29 nt
Filed under: Mus musculus (house mouse)
Lineage: Eukaryota; Metazoa; Chordata; Mammalia; Rodentia; Muridae
Source: RNAcentral